GGGACGAACGCUGGCGGCGUGCUUAACACAUGCAAGUCGAGCGGUAAGGCCUUUCGGGGUACACGAGCGGCGAACGGGUGAGUAACACGUGGGUGAUCUGCCCUGCACUCUGGGAUAAGCCUGGGAAACUGGGUCUAAUACCGGAUAUGACCUGCUCUCGCAUGGGGGUGGGUGGAAAGAUUUAUCGGUGCAGGAUGGGCCCCGCGGCCUAUCAGCUUGUUGGUGGGUAAUGGCCUACCAAGGCGACGACGGGUA
This 255-nucleotide ribosomal RNA is filed under the name uncultured soil bacterium. RNAcentral describes it as "partial 16S ribosomal RNA". It matches the Rfam family "Bacterial small subunit ribosomal RNA", at positions 27 to 285 of the family's 1533-position model. The record is from RNAcentral.